Molecule: ribosomal RNA, 490 nt
Filed under: uncultured bacterium
Lineage: Bacteria
Description: partial 16S ribosomal RNA
Rfam family: Bacterial small subunit ribosomal RNA
Source: RNAcentral
GAUGAACGCUCGCGAUAGGCUUAACACAUGCAAGUCGAGGGGCAGCAUGGUCUUAGCUUGCUAAGACUGAUGGCGACCGGCGCACGGGUGCGUAACGCGUAUGCAACUUGCCUCACAGAGGGGGGUAACCCGUCGAAAGUCGGACUAAUACCGCGUACACUUGGGAUAGGGCAUCCUGACCCAAGGAAAUGAAAUUCGCUGUAAGAUAGGCAUGCGUCCCAUUAGCUAGUUGGUGAGGUAACGGCUCACCAAGGCGACGAUGGGUAGGGGAACUGAGAGGUUGAACCCCCACACUGGUACUGAGACACGGACCAGAAUCCUACGGGAGGCAGCAGUGAGGAAUAUUGGUCAAUGGGCGAGAGCCUGAACCAGCCAAGUCGCGUGAAGGAUGACUGUCUUAUGGAUUGUAAACUUCUUUUAUACGGGAAUAACAAGAGUCACGUGUGGCUCCCUGCAUGUACCGUAUGAAUAAGCAUCGGCUAACUCCGUG